AAGACCUUGCGCUUUUGGAGCGGCCGAUGUCUGAUUAGCUAGUUGGUGGGGUAAUGGCCUACCAAAGCUUCGAUCAGUAGCUGGUCUGAGAGGACGACCAGCCACACUGGGACUGAGACACGGCCCAGACUCCUACGGGAGGCAGCAGUGGGGAAUUUUGGACAAUGGGCGCAAGCCUGAUCCAGCCAUGCCGCGUGAGUGAAGAAAGCCUUCGGGUUGUAAAGCUCUUUCAGCCGGGAAGAAAAGGCUACGACGAAUAAUCGUAGCUCAUGACGGUACCGGAAGAAGAAGCACCGGCUAACUACGUGCCAGCAGCCGCGGUAAUACGUAGGGUGCGAGCGUUAAUCGGAAUUACUGGGCGUAAAGGGUGCGCAGGCGGUUUUGUAAGUCAGAUGUGAAAUCCCCGGGCUUAACCUGGGAACU
RNAcentral lists this ribosomal RNA (423 nucleotides) under uncultured bacterium. RNAcentral's name for it is "bacterial SSU rRNA". It matches the Rfam family "Bacterial small subunit ribosomal RNA", at positions 207 to 622 of the family's 1533-position model. The record is from RNAcentral.